CCUACGGGUGGCAGCAGUGAGGAAUAUUGGUCAAUGGGCGGGAGCCUGAACCAGCCAAGUCGCGUGAGGGAAGACGGUCCUAUGGAUUGUAAACCUCUUUAGGCGGGGAGCAAUGCCGGGCACGCGUGCCCGGAGGGAGAGUACCCGCAGAAUAAGCAUCGGCAAACUCCGUGCCAGCAGCGGCGGUAAUACGGAGGUUGCGGGGGUUAUCCGGUUUGAUUGGGUUUAAAGGGUGCGGAGGCGGAUUUUUAAGUCAGCGGUAAAUUGUCCGGGCUCAACCCGGGCCGGCCGUUGAAACUGGGGAUCUUGAGUGGGCGGAAAGUAUGCGGAAUUCGUGGUGUAGCGGUGAAAUGCAUAGAUAUCACGCAGAACUCCGAUUGCGAAGGCAGCAUACCGGCGCCCGACUGACGCUGAGGCACGAAGGCCAGGGGAGCGAAAGGGAUUAGAUACCCCUGUAGUC
RNAcentral lists this ribosomal RNA (460 nucleotides) under uncultured bacterium. RNAcentral's name for it is "partial 16S ribosomal RNA". It matches the Rfam family "Bacterial small subunit ribosomal RNA", at positions 338 to 795 of the family's 1533-position model. The record is from RNAcentral.